This 8835-nucleotide long non-coding RNA is filed under the name Daucus carota (carrot). RNAcentral describes it as "long non-coding RNA (DCAR_LNC000080)". The record is from RNAcentral. Lineage: Eukaryota; Viridiplantae; Streptophyta; Magnoliopsida; Apiales; Apiaceae.
UUUUUUUACGGUUUAUAGACCUUAAAACCAUGCUAAAGCGUCUAAACAUCCACACUGAACUGAAUUGAACGACUGAAUGGUUUUAGUAAUAGGAAGAAAAUACUGCCAACUUAGUAUUGAGGGGUGGCAAUAUCAGACACGACCCGAAACCCGACACGAACCCGACCCAACCCGAAACCUGAUUUACUGAGACAGAAACCCGAAAGUGACCCGAAAAUCACCCGACAGACCCGAAAUGGACCCGAAAUGACCCGAAGUUAGAAUUUCAUUUGUAAUAACUUCAAUUUUUGGUUUUAUUCAAUUUUAAGUGAUUUUAGGUUGACCCGAAAUCGACCCGAUUGCUGACACGAACACGACCCGUUACCCGAAAUUGCCACCCAAAAAAAUAUAUAUACUUUAGUGAACAAGGUAAAAACAUCUACCAAUUAUUACAUGAUUAAAAAAUUUCUCGCGUCAGCAACACUGCCAAGGUAAGCCAAUGCUGAUAUAAAUCAGGAAAGAAAGAAAAGAAGACAUCUUAAAAUAUACCAAAAAAUUCAUGUAUAAGUUGAGGGACUAAAGUUUUAUUCAUGUACAUAAUUGCUGAAUAUUUUUGCAUAUUUACUGUAACAUAACCAAUCAUAGGAUUUUAAGAUGACAGAACAGGAAAAUAAUGACGGGAUCUUCACAUAUAGCUCCCAGACGAAUUUUGAAAUUUUUUUUUUUUUUUUUUUUGACAGAAAUGCACUUGCUCGUAUCGAGAAAACGCCGCUACUCCGAGGAGUUUCUUUCAUUCAAAAAGCUUAUUAUCUAACCGAAUUUUGAAAUUUUUUUGAUUAAACAACAAUCUGUCAUUUUCAAAUCGUAAAACGUUUCGAACUAGCACGAGUUAUUAUGCUCGUUAUCUUUAAGAAGUGAAUAUUGAACAAAAGGACCUAUUAUGGCUCCCCGAGACUUUUCAUCUUUGAGUCUCUCUGAUUCUCCGGCACUGCGACGUCUUCGUUUUUAAAUAGGCUCUUUAUGUAGUCAUUCAGAUCCGGAACUUCUAUCCAUUCAUCCCCGUCGAUCCUUACAUAUCCAUUUCCUGUAUGUGUAUUGAAGCAAGUGAAAUUCUCUACCCCAGGACACCCAACCAGACUAAAAUUCUUUAAUUGGAGCAUAUUGAAAGCCAUGCUUUCAUCACCACUAAAACUUUUGAGGUUUGGCAGAUGUUCAAGUUCAAUAUUCUCGAGUUGAGGAAUAGUGAUAGUCUUGUCAUUUGUGCCGGAAGUUUCAUCACCCCUUGCAUCUUCCACAACCACUUCUAACAAUUUGCAAUUUGAUACUUCCAAACGAAAGAGAUUUUGGAGAUCUCUGAAAACAGAACACGUGAAGAGAGUAGAGAAUCCGCAGUUAUCAACUUUUAUUUCCCACAAAGCUGGCAUAUAGAAGUCGUAAUUUGCACCGUGGAUGAAACUUUUGAGGUCUGGCAAAUUUCUGAGUUCAAGUAACCAUAGUUUUGGGAGGGAGAUAAUAAUCUCUUCACUCGUACCAGAAGUUUCAUCUCCCCUUGCAUAUUCAAAGAUGCCUUCCAACAUUCUGCAAUCCCGUACUAGUAAGUUUUCAAGCCUUUGUAGACUUCCAAAGGUUGUUGAGCACGUGAAAAGAGAAGAGAGCCCACAAUCACUCACUGUAACCAUGGAUAAAUUUGGCAGAAGUAGGCACUCAUGAUUUGCACUGUAGAUAAAACUCUUGAGCUUUGGUAGAUCUUCAAGAAUAACUUGUUUCAGUUGAGAGAGUGUAAUAGUCUUCUUGUUCAUGCCCGAAACCUCAUCGAUCCUAAUAUCCUCCACAAUUUCUUCCAAAUGAGCACACCUUGAUAUCUUCAAAGUUUCGAGACUUGUCAACUCUGAGAAUGAAAAAAGAUUAGAGAGUCCACAAUCCUCAACUUCCACAUACGUUAAAGAUGGGACACGACACCCAUAAUUUGCUCCAUGAAUAAUACUUUUCAGCUUGGGUAAAUCCUUUAGAACAACUAUCUCCAGGUGAGAGAGCGUGAUAAUCUUGCUAUUCAUCCCAGACAUUUCAAAAUCCUCCACAAUUUCUUGCAAGAAAGCACAAUCUGAAAUUACUAGUUCUUGGAGUUGUUGUAGACUUCUAAAGCCUGAGAAAGUGAAAAGAGCAGAGCCUCCGGAGUAUCCGAAAACUUUAAGCAUCUUUAGUCUGUGGAACCUUGAAGAUAUGAGCUCAUGCGACCAACACCUACUCAAAAAGAGUGUUUCCAGAUUAUGUAAUCGAGGUUGCCAUGUAGACGGAAGUUGUAUCUCCUCAUCACAACUUAUUCUCAACCUCUUUAGUUGACUGCUGAACUCUAUCGAUUCCAGGUUAAUUUCCUCGCAGUGGCUAAUUACAAGUUCUACUAAGUUUGGGAAUUCAACCUACAGAAUAAAUGUCAUUCAUUUUAUUAGUAGUUGAAAUUCAGCUCUUAUUAAUGGGUUGAUCUCUAUUCAAUGCCAUCAUAACUCAUGUGAGUGAUACAAACAUUAGUAAUAUCUUUUUUCUCACAAGUACAGAUAAAUAUGAAAAAUAUGAACUAAAAUUAGAUAUUAAUAAAAGGUAAAACUAUAGAAAAACAUUUACGUGACAAAAAUGUGUAUAGCUUCCACUACAUGUUUACAAUAUAUAAAAAAUAUCAUGAAAACUAAAUAUCUAAGAAAAAAAUAUAGUCAAUCGAUAAAUAACAUUCAACAAAUAUUAAUACAUUAUCAUAGAAGCUCCAAACAUCAAAAUUUAACACUAAAAUUUACUAAUAUCCUAAUACAAAUUUUAGAAAUGAAAUGCCAAGGCAUAAAACACAGAUGAGGCAUUUUAAUUUCGUAUUUAAAGUUUUGCUAGAGCCUAUAAACGCCUAAAAAUAAGGACUAUAAAGUGCUAAUUACUCAUUAUUAAACAACCAAAAUAUUGAUAAAAAGAGCAAUGCUCGAUAUACAAAAAUAACUCCCAAAAACCCAUGACAUGUUUUAAUUAGUGAAAUUGUUGUGCAUGUCAUUAGAUUUAUAACAGAGUAACCAAUUUUUGUGGUAUUUUUUAAGAGGUGAUCCGGUGAGAUGUUGGUCUUUCAUGUGCGGCCUGCUUCAUCAUGGUGGCUUGGAGGAUAGCUUCAGAGGGGUUCUGGGCUGUAUUGAUUGUCCUGGGGGAGGUGGAAAUUAUUUGGAGGUCCCCCCAUGGUUUUGUAAGGUGGUCGCCUGGAGAAGCCAUCUGUGGUGUAUCACCAGUUUAUUUUGGUGGAGCAUUGUGGGGUUUUUUAAUAGGACUUGCUUUAUUAUUUAUUCAGCUUGUAAUUUUGCUUGGACGUAUUAUUUUUUAUGGUGUUUAGGUGUUGCUGUGUCAAUUUCUUAGAGGGUGUUCUAAGAAAUUUGUGAUUGGUCCUGGGUGUGGUUUUUUCUCCCCAGGUUGUAUAUUUUUGUUUAAUUUAUAAAAUUCACACGAGGUGCCGCCCUCAUUUACCCACAAAAAAAAAAAAACAACUUGACACAUAUUUUUCGGAAAUUUUUUGAAAUAAUUUUUUGAUACUUCUAGCAUUUCUAUAAUAAAAAUAAGUGCUAUUCUAUCGAAUAAAAUAAAAAUUAGAUUAGAAAAGUAAAUUUUGUAGCAUACCAUUCUAUGGAACAGAGGUUGAAACUGAACAGAUGGUUGCAUCAUGGCGUCUUUAUUUUCCCUGCAGAAGCCUGUGAGUCUGGGCACAUUGCUUAGCUCCAAUUCUUCUAAAUUGGAGAAGUGUAUGAUAUCUCCAUUGCUUGAGCCAUCAUGUAUUACUAUUGCUUCCAUCACAGGGCAAUCUCUUAUUAUCAACUUUUGCAGCUGGGUGAGACGUUUUGCAACAGAGUUGCAGAAGAGGUAUCUUAAACCGGAGCAUUCUAUAAUUUCUAAAUAGGUUAGUUUAGAAAAAGAUGUCUGCUGGCUAUGCUGAAUAUCAUUGUGUGGCAUCCUUGCCAGAUGAUCCAUUUUGUUACAUUCUUCAAUUUGCAGAUUUCUCAAUUCUGUGAAUGCUUCCCGGUUGCUCUCGAAGAUACUACUCACAGUAAUAUUGCUGCACUGCAGAUUCACAUAUUCAGCCUUGUCUAUCAGACUUUUCAAGCUUUCUUCAUGACAGCCUUGCAAUACAAUCGACGUCUUGUAAGACAGAUCUGUUUUUCCAACACAUGACCCCCACCCACCCACACGUAUAUUAAAUAAUUUUAGAUUAUCAAAUAUGUUUGUAACUUGAAAAGGCUCAGAUAUUUUAAAUUUUAUCUGCAAACUUUUCAAACGGGUCAGUUGAUUGAUCUCGACCAAAAUGGGUUUCUGAACAUCAGAACUUUCAGAACACCAAAUCUCCAAUCCAUCGGGUAUAUGCAAUUCUUCCAGUCUAGAUAGACUGGAUAUGGUAUUUGGCUUCAUUUUCACUUUCGACCCCUUGAUUUCUAGCUUUCGAAGGUAUUUCAGAUUUGAUAAAUCCAGAGGUUCUGGGAAAUCGCCUUUCCAAAUGCAGAGAGUUUCUAGGUUUUCAGGAAAAAAACCAACACAUGUAUUGUUAAUGUGACUCAGGUUACAACCUUUCAAAAUUAACGUCCUCAGUUUACCUAAGGGUCGAAGAGAGAACUGCAGCUUCGAAGGAGAAUAGGUACCCACAAGAUAUAAAAAUCUCAGAUUCGCAGACAUACCGAAGAAGCCGCUUGAGAAUUGUUGUAUAUCAUUGUUGAAUUGUAUCCACAAGCUUUGCAGAUUUGGGCAUACAAGAUCAUCAGGGAUAUGAAUAUUAUCGCCAUCCAGAUCUAGCCGUAAAAAUUUGGUAGUGACAAAAUCAGCAUCAUCAAGCAGCCGCACGUCACAUGUUACCUGUGAAAAUGCAAAUUUUGAAUCUCUGAAAGCUAUAGAUCUCCCAACAUCUCUGAUGAGGUCAUGCAGUUUGAUUCUAUCAUCUUUUUCACAGUCAAGCAACAAAGAAGAUAAUCUCAGAGUAUCAAUCAUUGAUAGUACCCUAGAGUUCCCACAUACAAGCUGUGACCCUGUUGCCAACUGGAUCAGCUCCCUGAUAGGGAUGUCAGCAUCUUCCGGAAACAAGCAACACAAAAACAGACAUGACUUGGCAUCGCCGUGUAAUUUACUGAUACCCAAUUCUACACAAGCAUAUACUUGUGGUUCUACUCCAGGUAUGUUUACGAAUUCACCCUUCUGGAGUUGUUCAAGUGCAUCCACCCAUGAAUUGUGAGUUUCGAACUGCAGCGCUUUACUGAUCGCAUGAAUUAGGAGUGGUAAACCCCCACAUUUAUCACACACUUUCUUUGCAAGAGACUCAUCCUGCAUAUAAUCAAUUUGAGCAGUACCGACAAAAUUCUUAAAUUGCUCCCACGCCUCAUCAUUUCGCAGGGGUGUAAUUUUAACAAGAGUAUUGCAAUUGUUACGCAAGCAUACAUUUUCCUCUCGAGAUGUCAUCAGAAUCUUGGAAACCACAGGACUGUUUCCAUCACCAGAUGGAAUUCCAAUAACAUCUAGAGGAAUUUCCCUCCAUACAUCGUCUAGUAUGACGAGGGUCUUGCCGGCAUUCAAUAAACUUUGUUUCAGCUGAGAAGCUCUGCUUUCCGCAUUAUCUUCCGAUUCAAAUUUGCAAUCAAGAUGCUCAGCAAUCUGUUUCUGUAAGUGUAUCACAUCCAGGUUUUCAUUACCCACGUUCCCUCGUGUGACCUUGUUAAAGAUCUUCUUCUCCUGAGCUUCUUUCCAUAGUUGUUCCAUCAUCCGAGUUUUCCCCACUCCUGGCAUUCCACAUAUACCAAGGAUUGGAGAGCUAUCCGUGAUUAACGUACGCCAUAGCUCCGCAUAAACAUCUUUUCUGGAUUGAAAUUCCUGGUACUCGGUAUUACUUUUGGGUAAAUUUUCAGCUGGCGCAAGAUGUGCGAUUUCAUUAUCCAGGAGCUCCUUUCCGGAAUUAAUGAGCUCAGUUAGCCUCUCUGUCUUCUGCACCACUGCUCUGCCAAGUCGAAAAAGAGAGACGGGGUUGGGAAUUGGUAGACACUGAAUGCACCUCCAUGAAUGUCUGGUUUUGUGUAUUUCUGCAAACUUUUCGGCGCUCUCCAUGAUUUCUUCAGCCUCUUUCUGCCACUUAUCUACAUGAGGCUUGAUAAGUUUACCAUUAGCUCUUUCUGCAGCAACUUUUGUGGACACCCUUUCCUCCUCAGUGUAAGCUUUUUCGACUUGGGAAUCGAGAGUCUUAACAAGAUCCUUGUAACAGAACAUGUAACGGAAUCCACGGAAGAAGGCGUCAACUGCAGCAUCAGAUAUUCUGUCCACAAGUUUCCCCACACAUGGAAUAUCAGAUAAACCAACCAUGAUUCUUUCUUGGAAUUGUGAGAGAAAAGGAAAGAAGAGAAGAGAGAAGGAUAGCAAAAGAAAAGGAAAAUCUUGAGAUGGAUGAUUAAUCCACAGACCACAGGCAUAAUUAACUCAUAAUAUAUAAUUAUCUGAUUUAAGUUUUUCAAGGUUUUGGCCAUAAGUGCAUGUUAGAUCCACUCUCCGAGGACUAGCAGAUGCUUACAAUUUUAAACUAAUCUUAAAUACUCCAUAAUUUAGUUUACCACAGCCUCGACAGCUUAAACAAUUGAAGCUGAAGAUGCAGGCCUGAGCACAAUACUACUUUUUAAAUGGAAAGGAGACGACUCUUGUCAUCAACGGGCGUCCACCCUUGACCCUGAUUGAACAAUCCUACCCACUCUAAACUACUUUGGAAUCUUUAUUUUACUGCCCCGGAGUUUAACAAGACAUGGGACGCGUAGCUAUGGACUAUGUUCUGCAUAAGCGAGCACAAUAUAAUACUCCCUUCGUACUACAAUAUAUGUCACUUUUGAGAAAAAAAAAUUGUUCCAUAAUACUUAUCCACUUUUAGUUUCCAAUACAAAUAUAUUGACAUUAUUUCAAAUUUACCUUUCUUGAAAGUUGUAUAAUAAUUAAUAAGAGUCUACAUUUAUACAUUUAUCAGGGGUGCAAGUGAGAAAAUAUUAUCUAUUUAAUGUUUCUUUAAUAUGCGUAAUUUUUUCAAAAGAGACAUAUACUACAUUUAUCAGGGUGCAAGUGAGAAAAUAUUAUCUAUUUAAUGUUUCUUUAAUAUGCGUAAUUUUUUCAAAAGAGACAUAUACUGUGGGACGGAGGAAGUAAAAUUAUAAUUCAGUACCCACAUGCUUCUCCAGUUCUCCUCAUGAAUGGCAUUCACACAUUUAUUAAAUGGAUCAAAUUGAUGCAAGUCUCUUGAUUUAUUAAAGUGAUGAGUAACAUACCUACACACUUGAGCUUUGUUUCAUCCACCCAUCUCGCCACCACCAGCUCUUCCCGUUGAUUCUUUCUCCAAUCUCAGUACAGUUGUAAACUUAAGCUUCAAUUACAGCAGUUCAGUAACAACUCGCCAUGUCUCUUUCAGUAGCAGCAGCAGACAGUUGAAAAAAAUAAAAUCAGAUCCUGAGACUGCAAAAUCUCAUGUCUCUUUCAUAACAACAAAAUCUUAUCAAUUAGUACUUAUAAGGCCCAUGAGCCCAAGUCAGGCCCAAUUCAAGCCCAUCACAAACGCUUAACCGGGUCGUUUCAAAUAACACAAAUACACACUACAGCUCUCUUUUUCUCCUCAUUUUCUCGGCUAGGUUUUCAAGAAAGGCCCAUUUUUCCGGCGAACCACUCCGGCGGAGCUUCAAAAAUUGGUACUUUUUAACAUUUUUAGCAACCCCUUUUGUUUAAUUAAAAAAUGCAUAGCAGCCGCCAGCCUUCAUUGGUAUCUUUUAGUGAGGAUAAAAAUAUUAGGCCUAGAUUGGAUGUAUUUGCUUCAUAUGGGUUUUGGUGAGGAUAAAAAUAUUAGGCCUUGAACAAUUUUAUAGUACCAAUGGAGAAUCGGUUUAAAGAUAAGUACGUGGAUGAAUAUUGUUUGAAAUAUCCGCAAGUACUCAAGUUGUAUAAAAGGACAGUGGAAGCGUAGGUGACAUCAGUGUCUAUUAGAUUGCUUAUUGAGCAUUGAUGAAUGGAUCAGGGCCAUUAAGAUUCGGUUUUCUGCUACCCAAAGAGUUUAAAAAGUCGGACAACAUUAGGAUUACAAACAAAGGGUCUUGACUUUUUUGUCUGAUUUACAGUAAAGGCUCGUUUGUGUGCACCACAGAAUUAGAGAAUUGUCUAUAAUUUGCAUAUCUUGUACCUGUAUUGAAAUGACCUUUUAGUGACCACUUAUCAAUUGAAGGUUAGCAGGCUUAGGUUGCCCAAUAUUGUUAAUUUCAUGGUUGCAUCUAUCGUACUUGUACAAUUUGUUUUGUUUGUUAUCUGUAUCUGGAUGUUAUUAGAACUUAAGUUUUAUGAAACUUGUUCUACAUGCAAUGCUAUCACUCUUCCUGCGUAGUUGUCACUCAUUCAAGGUUGCAACAAUUUGUUUGCGUCUCAGAUAUAAUUUUGUAAAUGUUUGCUAAAACAACUGCAGUAGUUACUCUGCUGUGUUGAACCUCGGCAAUACAUUCUUCACGACAGGUAUUGGUUAGGGUUAAUAAUCAAGUGAGUCAUCAAAGUGGGUUGUAUAUAUCAAGUUGGUCACUGAACUCAAAACGAUCUCAAAUUGGUCACUUAAGUUAGGUACAUAUAUCACUAAAUACGAGUUCAAGGAGUAAAUAUAUUAUUUAUAGAGUUUUACACAUUAUUCUUGAAUGUUACCACAACUAAGUACAAGAUUAUGACUUAUAAUAUUUAUCAUAAUGUACUUCUGAAUUUAUCAAGUUUCUUUACUAUUUAUUUUUAAUUAAAACAAAGAAAUAACUAUAUAAUAAAAAAUAAAAAAUAAAUAAACUUGAUAAAAUUUUAAUAUAUUAUCAUAAAUACUAG